UAAUACAUGCAAGUCGAACGAGACCUUCGGGUCUAGUGGCGCACGGGUGCGUAACGCGUGGGAAUCUGCCCUUGGGUUCGGAAUAACGUUUGGAAACGAACGCUAAUACCGGAUGAUGACGAAAGUCCAAAGAUUUAUCGCCCAGGGAUGAGCCCGCGUAGGAUUAGCUAGUUGGUGAGGUAAAGGCUCACCAAGGCGACGAUCCUUAGCUGGUCUGAGAGGAUGAUCAGCCACACUGGGACUGAGACACGGCCCAGACUCCUACGGGAGGCAGCAGUAGGGAAUAUUGGACAAUGGGGGCAACCCUGAUCCAGCAAUGCCGCGUGAGUGAUGAAGGCCUUAGGGUUGUAAAGCUCUUUUACCCGGGAUGAUAAUGACAGUCCGGGAGAAUAAGCCCCGGCUAACUCCGUGCCAGCAGCCGCGGUAAUAC
RNAcentral lists this ribosomal RNA (430 nucleotides) under Pseudomonas sp. RNAcentral's name for it is "bacterial SSU rRNA". It matches the Rfam family "Bacterial small subunit ribosomal RNA", at positions 49 to 526 of the family's 1533-position model. The record is from RNAcentral. Lineage: Bacteria; Pseudomonadati; Pseudomonadota; Gammaproteobacteria; Pseudomonadales; Pseudomonadaceae.